GCACCAGUAACUUAAUGGAUAAAGUACCGCCCUCCGAAGGCGAUGAUGUAGGUUCGAUUCCUGUCUGGUGUACCA
Molecule: transfer RNA, 75 nt
Filed under: Rickettsiales bacterium
Lineage: Bacteria; Pseudomonadati; Pseudomonadota; Alphaproteobacteria; Rickettsiales
Description: tRNA-Arg
Rfam family: tRNA
About the family: Transfer RNA (tRNA) molecules are approximately 80 nucleotides in length. Their secondary structure includes four short double-helical elements and three loops (D, anti-codon, and T loops). Further hydrogen bonds mediate the characteristic L-shaped molecular structure. tRNAs have two regions of fundamental functional importance: the anti-codon, which is responsible for specific mRNA codon recognition, and the 3' end, to which the tRNAs corresponding amino acid is attached (by aminoacyl-tRNA synthetases). tRNAs cope with the degeneracy of the genetic code in two manners: having more than one tRNA (with a specific anti-codon) for a particular amino acid; and 'wobble' base-pairing, i.e. permitting non-standard base-pairing at the 3rd anti-codon position.
Source: RNAcentral